This 1192-nucleotide long non-coding RNA is filed under the name Betta splendens (Siamese fighting fish). RNAcentral's name for it is "lncRNA (ENSBSLG00000017730.1)". Lineage: Eukaryota; Metazoa; Chordata; Actinopteri; Anabantiformes; Osphronemidae. The record is from RNAcentral.
CUCGUCGCCGUCUGAGACGCUCAGAAAAGGUGGUUCAGGUUAUUGAUUUGCGGACGAUUUCCUCGUUUAUCCCCACGUGCAGCAGCUGGAGCCCCUCGGGAUUAAGGGCCCGCGCGGCCGCUUAUUUGACCUUCAGCUUGACCUUGGCGUCGCCUCGCGUGUGCCGCUCCAUCUUUUGGCUCCUCUCAGAUGCAGUUGGAUUUAAUGGAGCGCUUGUCUCCGCGAUGCGGAGUUGUAAUUAACUAUCUGAAAGCGCUCCAUAAUCACAUCAGCUGGCAUGAUUUGUUGUGAGUCCUCCUCAAUGUGAAAUUAUGCUAAUGAGCAGUUUUUUUUAUUUUAUUGUCUUUGGCGGUUAGGGUUAGGGUCUGGCGUUUGUGCGAGUGGUUCGGUGGGAAAAACAGCUUUGUGAUUUACUUGCUGAAUGUGUUAACAAAAUGACUGAAUAUCAGUAGAAUAAUUGAAGCGUCUCCAUGGGGACUAAAAAUUGGAGCAAGGCCUCAAACAUUUUUUAGGCAUCAGCUCCUGUUGAGGGAGCACAGCAGGGGGUGUGGGACCAAUUACGGUUUGUACUAAAGGAUCGUUGUGGCUGUUUGAAAGGGACCAGACGGCGAAGGAGCCCGAGUGACGGGGGAAAUGAGUCUGCAUUUUGCAUCGUGGUCUUCGGCGCUGCCUGUUCUGCCAACAGGUGGCAGUGUUAGAGAGCCUGGCUAACACCCGGCUCAUCAGGAGGCUCCUCACAAAUAAGGGAUUUGACACAGUCUCAUUUCACACAGGAUUUAGUCAAGGCAGUUACUUUUUUCCUGCACAGGUUCAGAAGAAUAUGAAUAAAUUAUAAUGUGCAUCAUUUAAGGAUAAUAAUUACAAUUCACACCCACAAAUCACUUGAGUUUGUUGAUGUUGCACACCUAAUCCUAAGGUGCUAUGAUGUCAGCCGGCGUUGCCAUGGCGACCGCCCUGUUACUCGUGGUCCGCCAGCCGCCUCUCGUCCUCGUCCAGCCCUCCCUCUCCAGUUCCUCCGUUUCUUUCAUUUCCCGAGCUCCGCUCAUCAAAAGACCGGCCAGCAGAGCGAGUGGACGACAGCGCGGCGGCAACACGGGUUUAUUUGUCAUUAGAGGUCAUUACACCGACUUCUUCCUCUGUUUGUGAUAAACCAACGUAAAAGUGGCCGUCGCCUUAAAGUGUGGCUGACCCA